AAGUCGUAACAAGGUUUCCGUAGGUGAGCCUGCGGAAGGAUCAUUAACGAGUCACGACGCCCCCGGUAAUCCCGUGUAGUUACGGAUUAGACCAUUGAAUUUUAUUCAUGCCCGGGGAAGUGUUCUCCAUCCGUGUUUAUCCGACUCUGUUGCUUUGGCGGGCCGCGCCUAGCCCCCGGCCCCGGCUGGGGUGUGCCCGCCAGAGGACCCCAACUCUCGUCUUUUGGUGGCGUCUGAGCACUACAUAUAAUCGUUAAAACUUUCAACAACGGAUCUCUUGGUUCUGGCAUCGAUGAAGAACGCAGCGAAAUGCGAUAAGUAAUGUGAAUUGCAGAAUUCAGUGAAUCAUCGAAUCUUUGAACGCACAUUGCGCCCUGUGGUAUUCCGCGGGGCAUGCCUGUUCGAGCGUCAUUGUGACCAAAUCACGCCUGGCGUGGCCUUGGGGCUGGCCGUCGAGCCUCCCCUAAACCCAGUGGCGGUGCCGUGCGGCUCUAAGCGUAGUAAAGAUCCUCGCUAUAGUCCCCGUGCGGUUGCUGGCCAUCAACCCCCCUACUUUCUACGGUUGACCUCGGAUCAGGUAGGGAUACCCGCUGAACUUAAGCAUAUCAAUAAGCGGAGGAAAAGAAACCAACAGGGAUUGCCUCAGUAACGGCGAGUGAAGCGGCAACAGCUCAAAUUUGAAAUCUGGCCGCAAGGUCCGAGUUGUAAUUUGCAGAAGAUGCUUCGGGUCGGGCCCCGGUCUAAGUUCCUUGGAACAGGACGUCGGAGAGGGUGAGAAUCCCGUAUGUGACUGGGCGCCUCGACCCAUGUGAAGCUCUUUCGACGAGUCGAGUUGUUUGGGAAUGCAGCUCAAAAUGGGUGGUAAAUUUCAUCUAAAGCUAAAUAUUGGCCAGAGACCGAUAGCGCACAAGUAGAGUGAUCGAAAGAUGAAAAGCACUUUGGAAAGAGAGUUAAACAGCACGUGAAAUUGUUGAAAGGGAAGCGCUUGCAACCAGACUUGCGGGCGGUCGAUCAUCCGAGGUUCUCCCCGGUGCACUCGAUCGCCCUCAGGCCAGCAUCGGUUCGGGUGGUGGGAUAAAGGCCUUGGGAAUGUAGCUCCUCUCGGGGAGUGUUAUAGCCCUCGGUGCCAUGCCACCUACCUGGACCGAGGACCGCGCUUCGGCUAGGAUGCUGGCGUAAUGGUUGUAAGCGACC
Molecule: ribosomal RNA, 1194 nt
Filed under: uncultured Helotiales
Lineage: Eukaryota; Fungi; Ascomycota; Leotiomycetes; Helotiales
Description: eukaryotic LSU rRNA
Rfam family: Eukaryotic large subunit ribosomal RNA (bases 564-1194)
Source: RNAcentral